AUACGUAGGGUACGAGCGUUGUCCGGAAUUACUGGGCGUAAAGAGCUCGUAGGUGGUUUGUCGCGUCGUCUGUGAAAUUCCGGGGCUUAACUCCGGGCGUGCAGGCGAUACGGGCAUAACUUGAGUACUGUAGGGGAGACUGGAAUUCCUGGUGUAGCGGUGAAAUGCGCAGAUAUCAGGAGGAACACCGGUGGCGAAGGCGGGUCUCUGGGCAGUAACUGACGCUGAGGAGCGAAAGCAUGGGUAGCGAACAGGAUUAGAUGCCCGGGUAGUCCAUGCCGUAAACGGUGGGCGCUAGGUGUAGGGGUCUUCCACGACUUCUGUGCCGUAGCUAACGCAUUAAGCGCCCCGCCUGGGGAGUACGGCCGCAAGGCUAAAACUCAAAUGAAUUGACGGGG
Molecule: ribosomal RNA, 398 nt
Filed under: uncultured bacterium
Lineage: Bacteria
Description: partial 16S ribosomal RNA
Rfam family: Bacterial small subunit ribosomal RNA
Source: RNAcentral